CCUGAAUUCCCAUUUGGGACCGGUGGGGUGUCUGCCUCUUAGCAACAGGAUACUUGGAUGAGCAGGAAAGUUGGAAUGAAAACUGUGGUCCAGCUGCCAUCUGGAAAAAGCCAUUUACAGCCCUGUCAGUGUGAAAACGAACAGGCAGUUCCUUCUGACUCCGUGGAAGGUUACCUUGUUCCUGAUGAGGUUAGUCAUGAAAGAAAUAUCAAACAGGAUCACAAGGGAUCCUGCAGCCAGCUCUCCUGAUGGUCAGUGCCUUUCACCAGGUGCUUUCGAGAACAAGAAACUCUUCAGUGAGAUGUCUCGAAGUUGCUUCCCUGCUUAAAGAACCUAAAAAGCCAACGUUUCUACUUGACCUAUGGAAUUGAAUUGGUACAAACAGAAACAAAGCUGAGAG
This 400-nucleotide long non-coding RNA is filed under the name Struthio camelus australis. RNAcentral's name for it is "lncRNA (ENSSCUG00000006265.1)". Lineage: Eukaryota; Metazoa; Chordata; Aves; Struthioniformes; Struthionidae. The record is from RNAcentral.